CAUGCUUAUACAUUUCGAAAACCCUUGUUGCUCUCUCUAUUAAUACUUUUAAACCUCAUCAGUUAUUAAUUAAUGGAGUUUUGAGUCUCUCUCUCUUGUUCUUAUUCUCUCUAGAACUCUUAAUCUCCUAAACAUUAUACAAAUCACACAGAUUAAUUAUUAAACACACUACAAACACAAAAGUGUUUAUGGUAUCAGAGCCAGGUUCCGCAAAGGGGAGAGUGUGUUUGAUUAUGAUUUUCGAAAUCUGAGUUUCUUGAGGUGUUCUUGAGGUGUUCUUGGUGUUCUUGAUGUGUUCUUGGUGUUUUUUGGUGUGCUUGAGAUCGAAUUGAGUCUGUGGAGAGUUUCUGAUGGAUUCAAACGAGUUAAGCAUGGUGGAGGAGAUAAGAUCAAGAAGUGAAGAGAAGAAAGAGAGAGAAAACGAGUGUGCUUG
Molecule: long non-coding RNA, 433 nt
Filed under: Brassica napus (rape)
Lineage: Eukaryota; Viridiplantae; Streptophyta; Magnoliopsida; Brassicales; Brassicaceae
Description: long non-coding RNA (BNAP_LNC025274)
Source: RNAcentral